RNAcentral lists this ribosomal RNA (413 nucleotides) under Salmonella enterica subsp. houtenae. Its description in RNAcentral is "partial 23S ribosomal RNA". It matches the Rfam family "Bacterial large subunit ribosomal RNA", at positions 161 to 586 of the family's 2925-position model. The record is from RNAcentral. Lineage: Bacteria; Pseudomonadati; Pseudomonadota; Gammaproteobacteria; Enterobacterales; Enterobacteriaceae.
AAUCCAUAGGUUAAUGAGGCGAACCGGGGGAACUGAAACAUCUAAGUACCCCGAGGAAAAGAAAUCAACCGAGAUUCCCCCAGUAGCGGCGAGCGAACGGGGAGGAGCCCAGAGCCUGAAUCAGCAUGUGUGUUAGUGGAAGCGUCUGGAAAGGCGCGCGAUACAGGGUGAGAGCCCCGUACACAAAAGCGCACGUGCUGUGAGCUCGAUGAGUAGGGCGGGACACGUGGUAUCCUGUCUGAAUAUGGGGGGACCAUCCUCCAAGGCUAAAUACUCCUGACUGACCGAUAGUGAACCAGUACCGUGAGGGAAAGGCGAAAAGAACCCCGGCGAGGGGAGUGAAACAGAACCUGAAACCGUGUACGUACAAGCAGUGGGAGCCCCACCACUAAGCCAGUGGUGAACUCCACAUA